RNAcentral lists this ribosomal RNA (442 nucleotides) under uncultured bacterium. Its description in RNAcentral is "partial 16S ribosomal RNA". It matches the Rfam family "Bacterial small subunit ribosomal RNA", at positions 338 to 795 of the family's 1533-position model. The record is from RNAcentral.
CCUACGGGAGGCAGCAGUGGGGAAUAUUGGGCAAUGGGCGCAAGCCUGACCCAGCAACGCCGCGUGAAGGAAGAAGGCUUUCGGGUUGUAAACUUCUUUUUAGACGGAAGAGCAGAAGACUGUACCUCUUGAAUAAGCCACGCCUAACUACGUGCCAUCAGCCGCCGUAAUACGUAGGUGCCAAGCGUUGUCCGGAUUUACUGCGUGUAACGGGCUUGUUGCCGGACUGGCAAGUCAGAUGUGAAAUCCCGUGGCUCAACCACGGAACUGCAUUUGAAACUGUUGAUCUUGAGAAUCGGUGAGGUAGGCGGAAUGGAUAGUGUAGCGGUGAAAUGCGUAGAGAUUAGGAGGAACACCGGUGGCGAAGGCGGCUUGCUAGACGACAACUGACGGUGAGGCGCGAAAGCGUGGGGAGCAAACAGGAUUAGAUACCCGGGUAGUC